Molecule: long non-coding RNA, 646 nt
Filed under: Setaria viridis
Lineage: Eukaryota; Viridiplantae; Streptophyta; Magnoliopsida; Poales; Poaceae
Description: long non-coding RNA (SVIR_LNC002603)
Source: RNAcentral
CGUACUGUUGACAUCGGGGCACCACAGCUAUCCAUGCACAGCAUCAGAGAAAUGUGUGCCGUUGAUGAUAUUAGCCACUCAUAUGAGCAUUUCAAGGCAUAUUUUGAAGAAUUCACUGAGUUGGAUAGAAAGGUCAAGGUGGAUUACUAAGGUGUACCUUACUACUCCCUCCAUUUCAAAUUAUAAGUUAUUCCAAGAAUCUUGGAGAGUCAAAGCAUCUCAAGUUUGACCAAAAUUAUAGAGAAAAUUAUAAAGAUUUAUGACAUCAAAUAGGUAUACUAUGAAAAUUUUCAUAUAAUUGAUGAAGAACCUAAUGAUACUUAGUUAACAUCAUAAAUGUUAUUAUAUUAUCAUAUAAAUUUGGUCAAAGUUGAGAUGCUUUGACUCUCCAAGAUUCUUGGAAUGACUUAUAAUUUGGUGGGAUGGAGGGAAUAUUUGGUAGUAAAACACUAUUUGGUUAGCUAUGUUGCAAGGUGUACUUUACUGCGAAAUGGAUGAAUAAGUAAAAAAGACAAAUCUGGGAGGAUGUAUUAGGCAUACUUUGUUCUAAAUUUUAUCUAUUUAUCAUCUAACCCCAUUACCAAUAUGUUUUAAAUCAUUUUCGUUGAAUUGGCUUCCUACAGCAUUGGCAAGAUAUAUCUUAAAA